RNAcentral lists this ribosomal RNA (200 nucleotides) under uncultured bacterium. RNAcentral describes it as "partial 16S ribosomal RNA". It matches the Rfam family "Bacterial small subunit ribosomal RNA", at positions 524 to 723 of the family's 1533-position model. The record is from RNAcentral.
UACGGAGGGUGCAAGCGUUAUCCGGAUUUAUUGGGUUUAAAGGGUGCGCAGGCGGAAGAGUAAGUCAGUGGUGAAAGGUUGCCGCUUAACGGUAAGAUUGCCAUUGAUACUGCUUUUCUUGAGUAUGGUUGAGGUAGACGGAAUGUGUAGUGUAGCGGUGAAAUGCAUAGAUAUUACACAGAACACCAAUUGCGAAGGCA